This 558-nucleotide ribosomal RNA is filed under the name Euchomenella sp. MN079. Its description in RNAcentral is "partial 16S ribosomal RNA". It matches the Rfam family "Bacterial large subunit ribosomal RNA", at positions 1797 to 2622 of the family's 2925-position model. Lineage: Eukaryota; Metazoa; Arthropoda; Insecta; Mantodea; Mantidae. The record is from RNAcentral.
CGCCUGUUUAUCAAAAACAUGGUUUCUUGAAUAGUUUCUAUAGGAAAUUUGACCUGCCCACUGAAAUAAUUUUUGAAGGGCCGCAGUAUUUUGACUGUGCAAAGGUAGCAUAAUCAUUAGUCUUUUAAUUGAAGACUGGUAUGAAUGGUUGGACGAGGUAAAUUCUGUUUUAUAUUAAAAAAUUGAAUUUAGAUUUUAAGUAAAAAUACUUAAAUGAAAUUAAGGGACGAGAAGACCCUAUAGAAUUUUAUAUAUAAAAUAAUUAAUUUAGUUAAGGUUAAAUUUUUUAUUAUUAUUAAAUGUAUUAAAUUGGGGUGAUUAAAAGAUAAAUUAAACUCUUUUUUAAUUUAAAUAUUGUAUGUAAUUAAAUGAUCCAUAAUUAGUGAUUAUAAGAUUAAAUUACCUUAGGGAUAACAGCAUAAUUUUUUUUGAGAGUUCAUAUUGAAAGGAAGGAUUGUGACCUCGAUGUUGGAUUAAGAUUAAUUUUAGGUGUAGAUGUUUAUUAAUUAGGUCUGUUCGACCUUUAAAAUCUUACAUGAUCUGAGUUCAAACCGGAGA